CGAAAGCCUGACGGAGCAAGACCGCGUGGGGGAGGAAUGCCUUAGGGUUGUAAACCCCUUUUAUCUGGGAAGAACAAAAUGACGGUACCAGAUGAAUAAGCCUCGGCUAACUCCGUGCCAGCAGCCGCGGUAAGACGGAGGAUGCAAGCGUUAUCCGGAAUUAUUGGGCGUAAAGCGUCCGUAGGCGGUUUAUCAAGUCUGUCGUUAAAGACUGCAGCUUAACUGUGGGCGAGCGGUGGAAACUGAUUAACUAGAGUGUGGUAGGGGUAGAGGGAAUUCCCAGUGUAGCGGUGAAAUGCGUAGAUAUUGGGAAGAACACCAGUGGCGAAGGCGCUCUACUGGGCCACAACUGACGCUGAGGGACGAAAGCUAGGGGAGCG
RNAcentral lists this ribosomal RNA (380 nucleotides) under uncultured cyanobacterium. RNAcentral describes it as "bacterial SSU rRNA". It matches the Rfam family "Bacterial small subunit ribosomal RNA", at positions 376 to 770 of the family's 1533-position model. The record is from RNAcentral. Lineage: Bacteria; Bacillati; Cyanobacteriota.